ACGAACGCUGGCGGCGUGCUUAACACAUGCAAGUCGAACGGAAAGGCCCUGCUUUCAGGGUACUCGAGUGGCGAACGGGUGAGUAACACGUGGGUGAUCUGCCCUGCACUUCGGGAUAAGCUUGGGAAACUGGGUCUAAUACCGGAUAGGAGCCAUCUUUAGUGUGGUGGUUGGAAAGUUUUUUCGGUGUAGGAUGAGCUCGCGGCCUAUCAGCUUGUUGGUGGGGUAAUGGCCUACCAAGGCGGCGACGGGUAGCCGGCCUGAGAGGGUGUACGGCCACAUUGGGACUGAGAUACGGCCCAGACUCCUACGGGAGGCAGCAGUGGGGAAUAUUGAACAAUGGGCGCAAGCCUGAUGCAGCGACGCCGCGUGGGGGAUGAAGGCCUUCGGGUUGUAAACUCCUUUCGCUAGGGACGAAGCUUUUUGUGACGGUACCUAGAGAAGAAGCACCGGCUAACUACGUG
This 464-nucleotide ribosomal RNA is filed under the name uncultured bacterium. Its description in RNAcentral is "partial 16S ribosomal RNA". It matches the Rfam family "Bacterial small subunit ribosomal RNA", at positions 29 to 507 of the family's 1533-position model. The record is from RNAcentral.